UGCAGAGGAGACGUUAGUAAUCAAACUUAGCUCUUCUAGACUUGUAAUUGAUGCUUUCCCUGCAUAGUUUCAUCUUUAACUUGCAAAUAUCCAGAGACACGAUGUGUCUUAUAACACGUCAGUUGAGAUCUGAGCAAGAAUCCCUGACAUGAUCAACACCUUUAAACUGCCAUUUUAGAUCCCUUGUCUGCUAACUUGUUGGCAUUCCAACUGGAUGGCUCAGUUUUGGGAUUAUGUCGACGCUUUCAGCAAAUGCAAUUGCAAUACAUAAAGAGAUAUGCCAUGCUGGAGAGCUUCCACUCACUCCUAAUGUGUGCAUUGUAGCUAUGGGCAACAACUUCACAUCCUGCCCUAUCACUGACAUGGCAAACAAGAAUUCUGGGAGCAUCCUGAGGCUGUUUUGCAUUACUUGUCAAAGAAUUUUAAACAACAAUAAGAUUCAAGAACUCAGAAAUGGAUCCUUCUAUGGAUUGUUUACACUGGAAAAAUUGGACCUGCGGAGUAACAUGAUCAGUCGUAUUGAACCAGGUGCUUUUCUUGGAUUGCCAACACUAAAAAGACUAGACUUGUCCAACAACAGCAUCGGCUGUCUGAACAUAGACAUCUUCAAGGGCCUCACCAGUCUGAUUAGACUAAAUCUUUCAGGGAACAUCUUCUCUUCAUUGGCUCAAGGGACCUUUGACAGCUUGGUUUCUCUGAAGUCACUGGAGUUUCAGACACCUUACCUGCUAUGUGACUGCAACCUUCUGUGGCUGCUGCGUUGGAUCAAAGACAGGAACAUUGCAGUCAAGAACACCAAGUGUUCCUACCCCCAGUCUCUUCAGGGUCAGCUCAUUACCUCCAUCAGGCCGGAGCUCCUUACCUGUGAUGCUCCUCUUGAGCUGCCCUCCUUCCAGCUGACUCCGUCCCAACGACAGGUCGUCUUUCAGGGGGAUAGCCUGCCUUUCCAGUGUCAGGCCUCCUUCGUGGCCGAGGACAUGCAGGUGCUGUGGUACCAGAACGGCCGCAUGGUCAAGCCUGACGCUGCCCAGGGAAUCUUCAUUGAGAAGCGCAUGGUGCAGAACUGCUCCCUGAUCGCUAGUGCGUUGACCAUCUCAAACAUCCAGCCUGGUUUUACUGGGAAUUGGGAGUGCCGGAUCCGGACAAGCAGGGGUAACACCACCAGGACUGUCCACAUUGUGGUGUUGGAGAGUUCCGCCAAGUACUGCGCUCCUGAACGCAUUUCCAACAACAAGGGAGAGUUCAGGUGGCCGCGCACCCUGGCAGGAAUCCGAGCCUACCUCCCGUGCAACAGACUGCCGUCAAGCGCAGGCACAUACUCGGGCAGCUCAGGUGAAGAACAGCGGGCGUGGCGCUACUGUGAUCGAGAGGGGCUGUGGGCGGAGGAGGACUACUCCCGCUGCCAGUUCCAGAAGGAUGUCACUAGAUUUCUUUAUGUCAUCAACCAGAUGCCUCUGAACGAGAGUAAUGUGGUUCCCAGGGCUCGACGUCUGUUGGUCUGCACAAUCAAUGCUGCCAACUUCUCAGACAAGAUGGACAUUAUCUUUGUGGCUGAGAUGAUUGAGAAGUUUGGCAAGUUUGUGGAGAAGUUUAAAGAUCUGGGUGAGGUGAUGGUGAGCAUGGCCAGUAACUUGAUGCUGGCCGACGAGAGGGUGCUUUGGAUGGCUCAGCGAGAAGCCACGGCCUGCUCCCGCAUCAUUGCCUGCCUCCAGAAGAUUGCCGUCUAUCGUCUGGCUACAGCGCAGGCCUUCUCCCUGACAUCCCCCAACAUAGCACUGGAGGCCCACACUGUGAGAGCCACCGACUGGAACGGCAUGACCUGCAUGUUAUUCCAGAGGCCCAUCCCUGAGCGGACACCGAGCCAGGACCGCCAGCUCACCUUCAAAUGCAACACCACCAGCUCCUUCUCCAGCAUCCUUCACAAGAGCACCAUUGUGGAGGCUUCCCUGCAGCUUCCUCAGUCUCUCUUUACCCAGGCUGUACCUGGGCAGGCAGAGGACACAGUCUACAAGCUCCACCUACUGGGCUUCCGCAAUGGCAAGUUUUUCCCCUCCACUGGCAACUCCUCCCAACUGGCUGAUGGAGGCAAGAGACGGAGUGUGGCUACCCCUGUCAUCAUGGCCAAGAUAGACGGCAUGUCCCUGCAUGUCCUGCGGACCCCUGUCAACAUCACCCUGCGGCGGUUUGCCCGCGGCUCAGACGCUGUGUCUGCCUACUGGAACCUCAGCCUGGUGGGAGGUCAGGGAGGAUGGCAGAGCGAUGGCUGCCGCAUCCUGGGCCAUCAUGACAAUUUCACCACCAUAUCCUGCAACUCUCUGGGCAACUAUGGCCUGCUCAUGGACCUCAGCAGUGUGGAGUAUUUCUCUCCAGGUAUCCGGCCCCUGCAUCCAGUCAUCUAUGCCACUACUAUUAUACUCCUCCUCUGUCUGCUCACCAUUAUUAUUAGCUACAUCUACCAUCACAGGUCUGUCCGUGUGAGCCGCAAGUUUUGGCACAUGUUGGUCAACCUCUGCUUCCACAUCUCCCUCACUUGCGGGGUCUUCGUAGGUGGGAUCAAUCAGACACGCCACGCAAGUGUCUGCCAAGCAGUGGGUAUCUUGCUUCACUAUUCUACUCUGGCUACAGCUCUGUGGGUAGGUGUGACAGCACGUAACAUCUACAAACAGGUGACACGCAAGGCCAAGCGCUAUGAAGAGCUGGACGAGCCUCCACCGCCACCGCGGCCUAUGCUCAGGUUCUACUUAAUUGGCGGAGGGAUACCUGUCAUUGUCUGUGGGAUCACCGCAGCAGCUAACAUCAAAAACUAUGGAAGCCGGACCAGUGCACCGUAUUGCUGGAUGGCAUGGGAGCCCAGCAUUGGGGCUUUUUAUGGCCCAGUAGGAUUCAUCAUUUUUGUGGACUGCAUGUACUUCCUCAGCAUCCUACUCCAGUUGCGGCGCCACCCUGAGCGCCGCUAUGAGCUCAAGGAGCCGACCGAAGAGCAGCAGCAUCUGGCUUCAGCCAACACUGAGGCCGGGCCAGAUGUUCCCCGCAACCACUGCCAUCCCCUCACUCUCCAGCUCCAGCCUCACGAGGCAUCGUCCUCCAUAAUGUCAGGUCCCCACACAGUGCCCCUGUCUGCCCUGGAGAAUGAACACACCUUUUCUGCCCAGCUGAUGGGUGCAGCAGGGGCAUUAGGGCUGUAUGCAGCCCUCUGGGUUUUCGGUGCCAUGUCUGUAGCACAGGACCACCCCUAUGACUUGGCUUUUACCUGCUUGUUUGGGGUGGCAGCACUGGCGCUCGGGGCAUUCAUGGUGGCACAUCACUGUGUCAAGAGACAGGAUAUGAGGCGCCACUGGUCCCAAGUUUGUUGCUCUGGGAGGCGAGCCUACUCAGCACAGGAGGAUGUCCUUCUGCCUCAGCCAGAUGUGGCAAUGACAUCCACAGCAGGAUCUGCUAAUAAGGCAGAUGGGGAGUCAGCAAAGUGUGGCCACAGCAGUGCAGACUCUUCCUACACAAAUAAGAGCGCCCCAAGCAUGCGCAACUCCACCCAUGGCAGCAAGCUGACUAAUCUGCACGCAGAGGCAGCUCAGUGUAGGUCUGCGUCAGCUCCGGUGACAGCCAAUGGUGCAGCCGUUUUGGACAACAGCCUGACUGAGCAUUCACUAGACAAUGAAAUUAAAAUGCAUGUAUCACCAGUUGAGGUGCAGUUCCGCCCAAUGAACAACAUCAACAAUCCAACAGCUGCCACUAACGGUCACACAAGCAGGCACCAGAAAAACAGAGCACGAGCACACAGAGCAAGUCGCCUGACUGUAUUGCGAGAGUACGCCUACGACGUGCCAACCAGCGUGGAAGGCAGCGUCCAGAGUGCCCCCCAUAGACGGCACCACCAUUAUGACGUAGCGGCACGCAAUAGCCGACGAGCAGCCUACAUGGCCUACAGGGAGAGGCAUCAGAGCCAGCUGCAGCAGGACAGCAGUGACAGUGCGAGCCUGCCACGGCGCUCCCGCUACUCAGAUAAAGGAGGUGGCAGCACCCUGGGGAACGGGACAGUAGUGUCUGCAGAGACUGACCAGGUCACUACUACUGCAGUGUCAAGCUCAAGUAAAGACUCUGGUCCUGUAAAGCAGUCCGGCAGCACAGAACUAGAGGGCCAACCCAAGUCAUAUGGGCUCAACCUUGUCACUCAAAAUGGUGGCACACUUAAAGAAAAUGGGCAAGCGGUGCCUUUAAUUACCACAGAGAGUGCAACCAGUAUAAAGACCGGCUUGUGGAAACAUGAAACUACUGUGUAGUGACGGUUUCCAUCCCAAAGACUGCAUAGUGAUAUGCUCUCGUCUUUAAACUGUGAAAUGUGUUUUUUGUUUUUUGAUUGUACAUUUCUUUCUUGGAAAAAGAGUCCUUUGAAAAUAAUUAUUGGAAAAAAAACUAGCCACAUUUUUUCAACUGAUCUGUCUCUGUAGAUAUGUUUUUGUAAAUGGUCUAUUUUUAUAACUUUACAUCCAACUCCUUUAUUCCAUUUUAGAGUUCUGUAAAUGAAACUGCAUGGUCUGAGCUGUGGCCCUGUGCAUACCCUUACCUCUGGGCUUUUUUUUUUUUUUUCCAUUUUCUAGUUUGUCCCAACAAUAAUAAAACAAAAGUUCCAUUUACCUAAUUGAAAGUUUUUAUCCUUGUGAUAACACCCACAGUCUCAUCUCUUGGGUCUCUGCAGCCAGUGCAAAGGUGGCCUCGGGUUCCUUUCUCCACAGUGGAGCAGCACUUUAAUUGCAUCUGGCUGUGGCUUUGGGCUCUAUAGAUGUUUUCUCCUUGCCUGCCGACAGAUUUGAUGAGUGAACUGUACAUUCUGGUCUCCUGCUGAUUGGAUGCCCAGGCUGUGAUUGACAGCUGACUCACGGGGCAAUUGAAGCUGCCAUGAGAAGACAGGAUAAUGAGAAUAGUGUAUCUUAUUCCCUUUCCACCUCCUUCCAUUCUUUCUCCUCCACAGCCAACAGCUAAACCGAAGUCUCCUUCAAAGCUUGACAUCGCUGUUGGGGAGAGAGAAUAAAACGGACACAAAGUAUGAUUUGACUGCUGGGUACUCUGGAGAUGGAUUAUUAUCAGUUUUUGCUAAGUGAAUACCAUGUAUCUGAUUUUGUGGUCGUGUCAACACCCAGAGACAGUUCAAGUUUGACAUUGUAAGUAAGGAAAGAUUUAUUUAUAUUGCACCUUCCAAAACAAAUAUUAAA
RNA transcript from Xiphias gladius (swordfish), 5207 nucleotides. It is a transcript of the gene named adhesion G protein-coupled receptor A3, with no coding region annotated. The record is from RefSeq and is a predicted model, not a curated record. The transcript has 21 exons. Lineage: Eukaryota; Metazoa; Chordata; Actinopteri; Istiophoriformes; Xiphiidae.